RNAcentral lists this ribosomal RNA (451 nucleotides) under Vannella sp. ED-2015. RNAcentral describes it as "SSU rRNA". It matches the Rfam family "Eukaryotic small subunit ribosomal RNA", at positions 54 to 493 of the family's 1831-position model. The record is from RNAcentral. Lineage: Eukaryota; Discosea; Flabellinia; Vannellidae.
CAAGUGUUAGUAUAAACUGACUUAUAUAGUGAAACUGCGAAUGGCUCAUUAAAUCAGUUAUAGUUUAUUUGAUGGAUACGUGCUUCGGUACACUACAUGGAUAACUGUAGUAACAUAGAGCUAAUACAUGCUUAAAGAUUCAACUUUCGGGAAGAAUCCGCACUUAUUAGAUUACAAACCAAUACCACUUGUGGUUCCUUUGGUGAUUCAUAAUAACUGAACAAAUCGCAUGGCCUUGUGCUGGCGAUGUAUCAUUCAAAUUUCUGCCCUAUCAACUUGUUGUUAGUGUAUUGGACUAACAAGGUGAUAACGGGUGACGGAGAAUUGGGGUUCGAUUCCGGAGAAGGAGCAUGAGAAACGGCUACUAUUUCUAAGGAAAGCAGCAGGCGCGCAAAUUAUUCAAUGGGAACAACUUCCCGAAAUAGUGACAAAAAAUAACAAUGCAUGACUU